Molecule: ribosomal RNA, 255 nt
Filed under: uncultured bacterium
Lineage: Bacteria
Description: partial 16S ribosomal RNA
Rfam family: Bacterial small subunit ribosomal RNA
Source: RNAcentral
UACGAAGGGGGCUAGCGUUGCUCGGAUUUACUGGGCGUAAAGGAGCGUGUAGGCGGCCACGCAGGUCCGUUGUGAAAACUGGAGGCUCAACCUCCAGCUGUCGACGGAAACCGUAUGGCUAGAGUCCGGAAGAGGAGAGUGGAAAUUCCUGGUGUAGCGGUGAAAUGCGCAGAUAUCAGGAAGAACACCAUGCGAAGGCAGCUCUCUGGGACGGUACUGACGCUGAGACGCGAAAAGCGUGGGGGAGCGAACAGG